RNAcentral lists this ribosomal RNA (468 nucleotides) under uncultured bacterium. RNAcentral's name for it is "partial 16S ribosomal RNA". It matches the Rfam family "Bacterial small subunit ribosomal RNA", at positions 28 to 507 of the family's 1533-position model. The record is from RNAcentral.
GACGAACGCUGGCGGCGUGCUUAACACAUGCAAGUCGAACGGAAAGGCCCUGCUUUUGUGGGGUGCUCGAGUGGCGAACGGGUGAGUAACACGUGAGUAACCUGCCCUUGACUUUGGGAUAACUUCAGGAAACUGGGGCUAAUACCGGAUAGGAGCUCCUGCUGCAUGGUGGGGGUUGGAAAGUUUCGGCGGUUGGGGAUGGACUCGCGGCUUAUCAGCUUGUUGGUGGGGUAGUGGCUUACCAAGGCUUUGACGGGUAGCCGGCCUGAGAGGGGGACCGGCCACAUGGGGACUGAGAUACGGGCCAGAGUACUACGGGAGGCAGCAGUGGGGAAUAUUGCACAAUGGGCGGAAGCCUGAUGCAGCAACGCCGCGUGCGGGAUGACGGCCUUCGGGUUGUAAACCGCUUUCGCCUGUGACGAAGCGUGAGUGACGGUAAUGGAUAAAGAAGCACCGGCUAACUACGUG